AAUAAAAAUAAUUUUCAAUAGUUUUCAAAUUGUUUUAAUGUUUUUAUAUAGUGAAUGUUAGAUUAAUAAUCGUAAAUUUGAUGGUUGAUAGUAUUUGAUAUCGUGGUGGUAAUGGGAAUAUUACUACAUACUACGCUAAGUCCUUAAAUUCUGCAAAUUUUUCUUACGUUGGUAACAUUAAUCAUACCAUAGCAGUAGGAAUUAGCAGUACUCGGUGUAGUUGUAAAACGGCGCUGCAAGGGCAACACUAUUCACUAGUUUGUAGCGUUUUUCAAAAUGCCGAAACCAAAAAGCAUUGUGUGGAAAUUUUUUAAAGUAAUAGAAAAAGACAAGUGUCUUACAAGUCGUUUGACGACUGAAAGAGCUGGAAAAUUGACAUACAUCUCAUUCAAUUUGAAAUUGGAAUUAUCGAAAAAAAAUUUUCAAAGAGAAAAACAAAAAAGAAUGAUGUUUAUUACUCCGUGGGAUGAUAAGGAAUUUGGUCUUCAGGCAGAAGAGUUAGAAGCCGAAUAUGCUGAAGAUGAAGAAGAGUAUAACUUUGAAGAUUUGUCUGACAGUUCUGAAGUUGAAAACUAAAACAGUCUAUUCUUAUUAAGAUUUUACGUUAGAGAAAGAAUAGCUAUUAAUUACUGAUAGUUAAAAGAGACCAAAGCAAAGAUUAACACUUUGUCAUUUAUGUAGCUUUAGCUAAGUAUAGUUUAUCUACUUAGCUCUAUUUGUUCGAAAAGUUAUUUAGAUUUUAACUUAUUAAUUUAAUCGAAAAUCAAAUAAACUUUUAAAUUAAUUUAAUAGCUUAAAUUAAUAGGUACUUUUUGCUAAUGUAAAAUCUUGAUAAAAAUAAACUUUUAUUUUUCAAGAGUCUUAUUUGAUUUCCGAUUAGAUUGAUAAAUUUAUAAUAAUUAACGAUAUUAAUUUUCUGACAGAUCAAAACGGUGUGAUACAAUAUGUGAUACUAAAGCAGAGAUUACUUUGUUAUUUAUGUAGCUUUAGCUAAGUAUAAUUUAUCUACUUAGCUCUAUUUGUUCGAAAAGUUAUUCAGAUUUUAACUUAUCAGUUUAAUCGAAAAUUAAAUAAAUUUUUUAAUUAAUUUAAUAGCUUAAAUUAAUAGUUAUUUUUUUGCUAAUGUAAAAUCUUGAUAAGAUUGGACUGUUUUAGUUUUUAAGAGUUUUAUUUGAUUUUUGAUUAGAUUGAUAAAUUUAUAAUAAUUAACGGUAUUAAUUUUCUGACAGAUCAAAACAGUGUGAUACAUUAUGUGAUACCAAAGCAGAGAUUAAUACUUUGUCAUUUAUGUAACUUUAGCUAAGUAUACUAAAAAUAAAUUAAAUAAAUAAAAUUAGAUUUAAAAAUAAAUAAAAUUAUGCAGUUAAUUUUAAUUUAUAACACUUUUAUGCUUUUUUAUUAAUUAUUAAAUUUACAUGUUGUUUUAAGUGAAUAAACAACAAAUAAACAUUGAUAAUGAAUCUUCUCAUAAAUUUUCGUAAAUUCUCGUACUAACGGUAUAAUACGGGAAUAUUCUUUGAUAUUUUCUCCGAUUUUAUUUUACCGAGAAUUUUUAAACUCUAGUUUUCGUGAUUUUCACCGAAGCUAUGUGCACAUUUACGGUUCUCCUUCAUGCUAUAUGCAGGAGUGAGAUGCGUUAAUUAGAUAAAGACAAUCAAUCUCUGUCUGUUCUUUGUUUAAACCAUUGGUUAAAGAGAGAAAGUAUCCUACCACCUUGUUUUAUUUAUUAAAAAUAGCACAGCAAUUAUUUCUAAGAGCAACAUAUUUCUUUGAUAAUUGGAGCAAUUUAAAGAUUUCAUGUUCUUUUUUUUUUAAAUACAUAUUAUUUAUAAGUUGAAUUAGAUUACACAAUUUUAAAGUGUUAUUUAUUUUUAAGUAAAUACUACUUGUAUUGGAAUAAGAUUUUUCAAUGAAAGUACAAAUAUAGUGCCACUUGAGUUUUAUAGAAAAAUUAAAGAUUUUUUACUAGAAUCCUGCCUUCUUGGGAACCAUACAGCAUAUCCGAGGAAUGUUCUGGGGAUGUUUUUAGAACGUUUUUUGAACGUCAUCCCGUCAUGAAAAUCUGUGCUGGAUUGUUUGUCUUUACAGAUUCCAAGCAAGCAAAAAUAAAUGCAAAUGAAUUAAAAAUUGCAAUUUGUUUUAAUUUAUCCGAGUUUGCGCUUUAGAAUCCCGAAAUAUUUUUUUACUCAAAUGAAUUAAAAUAUGAAAUGCGCUAUUUAUCAUUUUGAAUUUGGAUGAUUUAAUUUCCCAUUAUAUUAUUUUUUUUUUUUAUUCAAAUGAAUGAAAAACUUAAAACGCAAAUUCGUAAGGAACUUAUUUCUAUCCAUUUCAAUUCAUUUUCGUUUGUUGGGAUUACUUAUACAUAAGUUUUUUUAAUUUAUCGAUUGAUCAAUCGCAUUAUGCACAAUUAUGCUCUGUAAAAGCUGCGCAUAAGGCAAUUGAUUGAUCGAUGAAUUUAAAAACUUACUCUAUUUAACAUCUUUCGCUUGUACACUUUACUUUAAAAUAAUUGCGCUUUCUUUCUACUGCUAAUUCCACAUUACGUCGCACUUAUCUUUUUCCCCUUUUAGAAAGCAGGUGCCAGAAAUAUCCUUUUUCUCCCGAUGGAAAAUUGUCUCGUUCUUAUCUUAAUUUAUCUUUAAUGAGACUCGAUUUGUUCAGUUUUUUUAUGGAUUGGACACGUGCCGAUAUAAUUCACUACUGUUACGCAGACACGCGAUAGACACGUAGCCCGAAUCGUAACGACAUUCAAGAUAAAGCACCCGAAAAUAAAUUAUUUAUCGAUUAGAUUUUUACGACUGCGCGUGUCCUUUUUGGUUCCCUCUCGUGUUUCUGCGAAUACGCUCUCUCGCGGAUAUCGCAAUUUAUUUUGGCUUCUAUCAAGUGGUUUUCCGUUUGACUCUCAAAAAACUUUCCUGUUAUCGUUUAUCUCGUAUUUAUCGGCAUGACAUAACUUUGAAAGUCAUACGAUAUCACGAGGAAAAAGGAAAGAGGAAGAAACAACAUAAUAUUCUUGACGCAAUACGAAUUCGUGGGAAGGAGGAAGAGAGAUACGAGCACCGCGCGUGUCGGAUUACCGCGAUGAUUGAUGUUUAGCCAAGUACCAUUUCUUCCAACGUUUUGUUUCUCUUCGCUCCGGAUGGCGAGAGAGAUAUAAGAAAUUAGAGAAGUGUGCCGGGACGUUCAGCACGCAUUACCGGUGACUAUUACAAACAAGCACAGUUUACGCAAUUAAUGCUGUAACGCGUUAUUGCAGAGAAAAAUAUUAGUAUCACGUCAACAAUUUAUUGUUUCAUGUAUGAGCAAGAAUAUAAAAUCUUCUUGGAAGAAUUUACAAUCUUAAACAGAAAUAAUUUGCUUAUAUGAAAAUUUUUAUGUAAGCAAAUUAUUUCUGUUUAAGAUUGUAAGUUCUUCCAAGAAAAUUUUAAAUUCUUGCUUAUAUAUGAAACAAUGAAUUGUUGAUUUGAUGCUAAUUUGUUUCUGUGUAGAGAACACGCGCAAUAAUAACACUCCGGGGACCGUUCGCGCGGGGAAAAUGUCGAAUGGAUAUUUAGGGAGAACCGACAGUCCCCAGCACGAGACCGAAAACAUGCAGUCGAUUGUAAAACGUUAUUACAAUAUUAACCUUUAGACUGUCGGGAAAGCCACCUGUGGCUUUCUCUCGAGUUUGGGUUAGAAUACCACUAUUUUUAGUGAUAGUUCAUAUAUUAAAUAUAUUAAACAUAUAUAUAUAUAUAUGUGUGUGUGUGUGUGUGUGUGUGUGUGUGUGUGUGUGUGUGUGUGUGUGUGUGUGUGUGUGUGUGUGUGUGUGUGUGUGUGCGUGUGCGUGUGCGUGUGCGUGUGCGUGUGCGUGUGCGUGUGUGUGUAGCCCACGCAAUGCAUAGUUCUCCGUUUACAAAAUUUAUCAAAGAUAAUAAAAUCAUGUUUUACAUACAUCGCAUCUGAAAUUAUUUUUUUCGCAAUAUAUACAUAUUGUAGCUAUUUACACAUUAUUUACACUUCUAUUAUUAAUGCAGGUAGAUAAAACGUUAGAGAUACGCAGAGGUAUAUUCGCAGUUAUUAUCGCUAAUUUUCAGUUUGGUAAAACUGGAGGAACGUGACUGAGGACUACGAAUCCUUCGUCACUGGUUACAUUAAAUUAUUCAUCACAGUUCUCAAAAACGAAAAUGUAUAAGAUUUCGCGCGCCGCGAUCUUUCGCUUAGAUCCUUACAAAAAAUUGCGAUAUUUUUACCUAACGCGAUUUAUAUCCUACGUUUUAUUCGUCGUUCCUCGGAUAGAAGAACCAUUAUCGCUCGUCGACUAUCAUCGACACGUUUUUAUGCAUUCGUUGGGAAUAAAACAAAUCAUAUGCACGAGUACGCUGUCGUAGGAAAAAGGAAAAUGACGAUACGUUACGCGGGUAAUAAUAAUAAAAUAAAUCAUAUCGUUUGGCUCUUAACGUCAGCUCGUCACACUUAUCACGCUGACGCUUUUACGCGCAUCAUCGUGAAUUGCAUAAUGCAUCUGAUCUAUUUGUAAACAAUGCGGCUUGCAUACGCUUACUCAUCGAUGCGUUUUUACGUCGUGACAAUAAUGCAAUUUGCAGUUUAGUCGUUGAUGAGCUUUAUAUGCUGAUGCCAGUAACAUGCCGCAAUUAUUGGACAUACUCCUCGUGCCUCUCAAUAAUUCUCGCCCUUACAAGUACUUGUUCGAUAUCGACACGAGCUACAGCUUCGGUAGGGAGGUGUAUUACUCUCCUGUAUUGUUCCACUUAUACUUGACUAUAUGGAGACUAUAAGCACCAUGAUAACAACCGAUACGAGCUACAUAUCAUUCGCGCAACACGUAAUACGCAGUUUGCUCGUCACUAUCGUAUCUAAUAUAUGCCGCUUGUUUUCUGAGAAAUUUCAGUUUAACGCGAAAGAUUAUUUACUUCUCUCUUCAGUGUUCUCUCUUAUACCGUAGAUAAAAUUUUAAUCGUGAUCUCAUAUAAAUAUAAAUAUCAUAGAUAAAGUUUUGAUCGCGGCCUGUUUCAAAGGUACCGAUUACAAAAUUUGGCGUCUUGAGAUAAGUUCGAAGAAAAGUAACCGUUUCGCCGAGGACGCAGAGGUAAAAUUUGUGAUAAGCGAGUUUCCUCGAAUAACGAGGUCUGUUUAACGCGAACUGGUGCUUCUCUUGCGGAAACACUGAGUCUUCAUUGAGUUUCGAGUGAAUUCAACUCGAGUCUUCGCAUAAAUUGCGAGGUGUUUUGCAUUUGAUCUGUAUUUAUCGAUGCAUUUUUCAGAUAUGUCCACUUGCAAUGAAUUGGAUUCUCUGUUCGAACUGUAUUCGUCUAUGGUGUUUUUCCAUUACCAUUGUCAUUAUAAAUCACCUCGGAAUUCAAAGACAGGACAUAUCUUCAAAGAUUUUCUUUCGAAGAAGUUUCGCGAAGUUCCAAAAAAACUUUAUCACUCUAACGUCGGGAUUUCUUAUAUAGAGCAAUUGCGAUAUUUACGUUGUGCGAGGAUUUACAUCGCAGUAAUCUGAGAAAAUAGAAGAAAUGAAGACCCUCUCUUUCUCUCUUUUUCUCUCUGGAACGAGCGUAAAGGGCUUAAUGGUUAUUUCGUGAUACAUACUUAAAUGUAGAGGGGUAGCAAAGGAUGGAGUAUACUAAAAUAAAAACGUUUUUAGCCCUUUUAUACUAUAUUCAGCUUGAUUGUCCCAUUCAGGAAUGGUUACAUCCCUAAAGGCACACAAUAUUCCUAGAAUAUUAUACGAAUAUUAUUAAAAAUUAAAAUAUUACUAUAUGAAUA
Solenopsis invicta (red fire ant) is the source of this 5772-nucleotide RNA transcript. RefSeq lists it as uncharacterized. The record is from RefSeq and is a predicted model, not a curated record. The transcript has 3 exons. NCBI's taxonomy places the organism in Eukaryota, Metazoa, Arthropoda, Insecta, Hymenoptera, Formicidae.